GGAAGGUGUCAGAGGAGAUUCUCUGCAUCGGCAGGAGUCAGAGGGAGCAGCACGACUCCUGAAAGCACGAGCGCUAGCAGAGGAAGGAGGCACCUCCCUGACCUGUUGCCCCCACCCUGCAGAAGAACCGUAUUCUUUUCCCCACGCAGUCUUCCUCCAGAGAACCUCUCACCUACUUCUGCUCUCACUGCUCGGGUGUCCACGGCUCCUACCAGCCUGCGAGCACCCGAGGGAACCAACAGCCCACCUCACCUCUGCAUCUUGCCUCAAGCUUGCUGCGUGAAAGAAGGAAGGAAGGAAGGAUGGACGGAUGGAGUGACCUUUAGCUGAGCAACCAUAUAUAUAUACACACACACAUAUAUUUUGGUCUGAAUUGGAAUUUGCCAUAAUGUCAAUUGAAAUUAAAAUCUUUAUAGAUACAAAACUAAAAAAGCCACAC
This 439-nucleotide long non-coding RNA is filed under the name Dasypus novemcinctus (nine-banded armadillo). RNAcentral describes it as "lncRNA (ENSDNOG00000051373.1)". Lineage: Eukaryota; Metazoa; Chordata; Mammalia; Cingulata; Dasypodidae. The record is from RNAcentral.